GACGAACGCUGGCGGCGUGCCUAAUACAUGCAAGUAGAACGCAGUUGCGAACGGGUGAGUAACGCGUAGGUAACUGACUCCUAGCGGGGGUUAAAUACUGGCAACGAUAGCUAUUACCACACACUGUGAGAUGGACCUGCGUUGUAUUAGCUAGUUGGUGGGGUUAAGGCUCACCAAGGCGACGAUCCAAAGCCGACCUGAGAGGGGUAUCGGCCACACUGGGACUGAGACGCGGCCCAGACGCCUACGGGAGGGAGCAGUGGGGAAUCUUCGGCAAUGGACGGAAGUCUGACCGAGCAACGCCGCGUGAGUGAAGAAGGUUUUCGGAUCGUAAAGCUCUGUUGUUAGAGACGCGGUAACUAACCAGAAAGGGACGGCUAACUACGUGCCAGCAGCCGCGGUAAUUC
Molecule: ribosomal RNA, 407 nt
Filed under: uncultured bacterium
Lineage: Bacteria
Description: partial 16S ribosomal RNA
Rfam family: Bacterial small subunit ribosomal RNA
Source: RNAcentral